Aegilops tauschii subsp. strangulata is the source of this 3715-nucleotide non-coding RNA. NCBI's taxonomy places the organism in Eukaryota, Viridiplantae, Streptophyta, Magnoliopsida, Poales, Poaceae. The record is from RefSeq and is a predicted model, not a curated record.
CUAGCGCACCAGGCCCAAUCCUCUCUGUCCUCGAGCCCCACGCCAUUCUCUUCCCUAUCCCCGCCGCCCGGCCUCCCCUGCUCCACGGCCGUCCUCCUCAGGGCCUCUCGCGCCGCCGUCUUCUCUGCCGGGCCUCCUCUCCGGGGCUCGAUGUGCAGUCGGGGCGAACUGCGUUCUCGAUCCAGCCGGCUCGGGUGUAGGUCGCCGGCAUCUGGCGCCGCGUGCCGUCAUUGAUUCUGUCUUCCUCCUCUUCUCCAUGCCACCGCCGCCUCCUCCUCUCCUUUCCUCGAUGUCGCCAGGGCCUCGCCCUCACUGGCUGCGGUGAUGGCGGCGUGGCGGAGCUCGUGGUCGGCCGGAGUCCUCUCCCGCGUCCGUCCCGGCGGGGCCGGCGACCUGCAGCCAAAGGGUGACAGCGGCUAGGAGAGAGAGAGAAGAUGAGAGGGAGAGAGAAGAGGAAGGGGACGAGAGAGAAAGAGAUAGGAAAUAGGAGACUAAAGCUUUUCCCCCCAAUCCCCUCACAGUCGCCGCCCCGAGCUCCUCUUUCCCUCCACUCCCCCGACACCGCCACUUGUGCUCGGCAGAAGGAGUGGCUGCGGUGAUGGCAGAUGCGUGAGGAGGAGGCCGUGGUCAUGGCGGCGCGACGGAUAUCAUGUCCGGGUGGCGCGGUUGGUCGAGGCGGACGUGCCAGCGCGCGGGGUCACGGUCGAGCUUGGCGUGAGGAGAGGGAGGAGAGGGACGGGAAGAGUGGGAGGCGCAAGGACAGCGGCGCUCGCCAUCUCUUCCUGUUGCACGUCCCCGGAUGCUAGAGAUUGAGGCCUUGGCAGGAGGAGCUCGAGCCGAGGAGCGCGACCUCGAUCCGGACUCAGCAUGAGGAGGGGAGCAGCAGCCGCGUCGGCCUCGUCGCAAUGUGUGCAGCAAGCUGAAGACGCGGCAAGAGCGGCGGUCAAGACCACUGUCGCGGCUUCAGGGGCUGCGCACCCGUCGAGCAACGGCAAGCGCAUCUCAUGUCGCACACCGAGGCAACAACAGAUGACAAGAUGCGAUGCCCCAUCUUCAGCUUGCAGCCUUGCAAAUAAUCUUAGGAACUUGGCAGAAGCUAUACAUAUGCAAAUAGAGGUUCAGACACAGCUCCAUGAACAGCUAUAGAUUGAGAAGUGAACUUUUGCUGUAUAAUUGCUUGCUGUGUGUCAUGUAAACUCUAGCUUUCUAGGCGUACAUGUACAUGUGCUCAACAACAGGAGAAGCACGAGCAGCCGAGCGUUCGCCUGGUUGCAGCUCGACUUCAGAUUUUGUUUUUCUAUGUCUACAAGUUGUUUGAUGAAAAUCCAAAAAGGCUGACAUGGGAGAAUUAAUCUAUGUAUUGAAGGAGCUCAGGAUGCUUUUAUUUCUAUUUACAUCAUGGACUUUAUUAUAGAACAACCACAGUGAAGAAGAUUAUCUCAUUUCUUUUGGAUGAUUUGGUUUAGUUGGCUAUUACGCAAGUCGGAAUGAAUUAACAAGUACAGAAAUGAAUAUCUCAGCAAAAAGGUAAAGUGGGUAACUACUAAACCAGAGGAUGUUGCAUGCCAUUUUUGUUCAUCGGCCUGGCAUGAUUUGGAUUGUUGUAGAGGUCGGCGUGAAUGAAGAGCUAGCUUGGGAAGACGCAGUCGAUUAUUAUUGCCUAUUUCUCUAUUGAAAGGUGUUGCUUCUUUCAUCUUGACAGUUCUCAGGUGGAAGGUGGUGACCAGCAACGCGCACGUGGACGAUGGCUGGGAUGUGCUAUUACCCGUGCACAGGACUCCCUAUUAUCUAUUAUGGGAAUGGUUAUUUGCCUGCUCUUGCAGAUAAAGCACCUGAUUUGAAUUAUCUACGAGAUAAAGUUAUGCAAGCUUCGGCAUGCUGGGAGUCCCCACUCUCAUGUUGUUGGAGCUGUGACAUACAUGUGGCGGGUAUCCUCAAUAGGGAGUAGCAAAUUGGAGGCCAAAGAAGCAAAUUUGUCCAAUUCUGAAACUAAAUUUUGUGAAGGAGGCCGAUGUUCAUUACAACACCAAUAGGAUGGGUGAAGGUCUGGAUGCAAUAAGAAUUGCACGUGGUAAACAGAUGCAAGAUUCCAGUGUUCUGAAGUCAUGGGAUGCAAGGCUAUGCAAUCUCUUAACAGUAUAUUGCACCCAAUUAGCAAGAUGAUCUACAUUUGGAACAAACUCUUGGAGGGGGAGACUUGGUUUCAACUGUUGAUGAGGCACUAUCCGAGGAGAGACAGUAGAUAAAUGCAAAUGUCCCCCAGAGCCAGAGGAGAUCCUUUCUAUGGAGAAACACCAUAUACGUACAUAAUCUUUACCUGGAUUCUAGAAACGACCAAGGAUAAGCAACUCAAGCGAAAGAUUGCUUUGGUCGAUCCUGCCGUGUUAUUCUUCUCAAACAUGCUAAAGAAAGGGAUGAUACAAUCAAUCCAACUGUUACCUUUGGUAUGCUUUUUGGAUGGACUAAUCUGAAGAUGCUGGCUAGCUUGCACCGCCAUCAUACAGUCUAGAAGAAAAGGCAAGGAUUACAGGGAAAAUAAAGGCAAUUCGCCAUCCGGAGAGCUGCCAACUAAUACAUUUUUGUACUUCCUCUGUUACAGAGUGUUCAGGUUAGUGCCAUAUAGAGUGAAGAACCCUUGGCAUCUUAUCUAAAUUCUUCAAUCCUAUAUUAUGUGUGCCCAGUUAAAGUUAAGUACCUUAUACCAGUACCUUAAUUAGCCUCUUCUGACUAUUGAUUGUUUGAACUAUUGUAGUAGGACUCAGACUUUCAAAGUUAUUAGGCAUGUGGACAUGUCUUUAUUUUAGUUUGUACAAUUUUGUGUUUUUUGGCUUCAGGUUGCUCCCGCCGAGAAAGCACAGUAAACUCAGAUGAUUUAAUUAGAAAAUACUCUUCAGCAUCUGAAACAUCUAAAGGCCGUCACUCAACUAAGUAUCUUAUAAAAUAUACACAGCUGGAAGAUUGGAGCAGUCCCAGCCACUAAUUAGUGUUCCUGUGUUGAAUCACUCAGCUAAGUAUCAACACUGCCCUCGAGACUUGACUAUUAGCAUAGUAGCAAAAAGCUCACACAAAAAAUCUACGGAUUCAUCAAACACCGAAGGAGGUUAGUUCUCACCUGAGUGGCAACGGCGGCUGCCAUGGUCUUGCUAGAGCAUCCCUUGCCGUGAAAAGUUACCAGCUUCAGGGAGUGCUGGCACAGCCGAAACUGACGCCACCUACGGCAGGGAGCGACAGCGGCAACUGAGGAUUUGGCUCGCCGGUACAAGCAACAGCGGCACCAUUUGCCGGUUCUGUGGCUCCAAGCUACAGCCGUAGCUGCCGGGCCACCAAGAUGCAGAUGGAGCUGCAACGCCUCUGAGCUGCAGCAGGAGCCGCUCUGCUGCCAAGCUGCAGCCCAAAGCGGCGGCGCCGGGCACCACCAGGUGCUUUCUCACUUACAAAGACGAUGAACUGGUGGAUGGAACAAGACCAACAGUCAACCAUGUGGUGACCUCUGGCGUUACAUUGUGACGCGUGUGUAUAGGUGUCGAGAGUGUGUGGUUCUUUGUCCCAAUGGCACAAUUGUAAUUUUGUUUAUCUUGCUAAUUUACACUGCAUGUACUGGUAUGAUCUGUACCGUUUCGUGAUAUCUAUUCCUACUUAUCUUGACUUCCUUUUAGCCUGUACCAUAUAAUAAUUAUAAUAAUAGGAUAUAAGUAUCUAUUAAGUUAAUUUUAAA